UCAGGCUGGAUUAAUCCAUUUUCUCUGCCAGGAAAUCAGACAGAGGUAAGGGGUCUUUGAUACUGUGUCCCUUGAUGGCUGUUUCAACUGGCCACAGAGCCCUGCUGCUGACCUUCAGGAUUGCCCGGUCCCUGCCCUUCCUGGAUCCUGGCUCUUCAGCUUCCCUCCAUCUUGUGACACACUCUGGCAUCCUCCUACUGAAUUCCACCUUUGGCUGAGUUGGCUUCUGCCCCUGGCCUCCAAAAGCACCUUCACUACUACAGACUGGCCGAGGGAGUUGGGAUCGGAGUUAGUGUGUCGAAGGUUGUCCCUGUGAUUCCAAAUUGGGCCGUCCCUAAGAAAUGGGCCCAUCUGGUCAGUUUCCUAAAGAAACCACGAGAUGCCAAGGCUGAAGCUGUCGUUUGUUGAAAGAGCUGUGGCAGCCUGUGGCAGCCUGGGAAAGACACUUUGUGCUGCAGCUGGCACUCGCCCCUGAGAUGCCGGAAGCUCAUCAGUGAGGGGCAUAGGAAGAAGCGAGCUAAGGGGAGGCUGGCGGGGGCCUGCACGGGGCAUCACCCUCAUUCCUCGUUGGACAGAGCCCGCUAGGGGAUGAAAGAGAUGUUCAAGAUCACUCCCAUAGUUCUGGGAGGCAGGAAAACUUCAGUGAAUGAGAUUCCUGUUUCUGGAAAUUUACCUGAAGGCUGGUGUGAUAGGUGAGACAGCCCCCUGCAAUCCCCACCCCUGGUGGUCAGGUCCCCGUGCAGUCUCCUCCCAUGUUAACUAGGACUGACCUGGGCGACCAGUAGGAUAUGGCAUGUGGUUCUUGAGGCUAUGUCAUAAAAGACCUCAUAGCUUCAGCCUUCUCUUCUGGAUCACUCACUGUGGGGAAGCCAGCCACCAGCCCUACAGAGAGGCCCACGAGGUGAGGAACUCAGGUCACCUGCCAAGCGUCAGCACCUGCUUGUCAACCAGGUGAGUGAGCCACCUCCCACUCAAGCCUUCAAGUGCCUGCAAUCCCAAUGGGCAUCUUGACCACAACUUCAUGCGAGACCCUGGGUCAGAGCCCCCACAGAAUCUGUGAGACAAUAAAUGUCUGUUGUUUUCAGCUGCUAAGUCUGGGGGCGAUCUAGCAAUAGACGACUAAUAAUGGAGGAUGAGUAUGUGCUGGCUCGGAACUUUCCAGAAAACGUCACAAAGGGGACUACGGGAUAAAACUUGCAUCAAGGGGACCUUGGGCACCAAAGGCAGCCAUGGGGAUUCCCUGACUUCUAUAUCAGGGAGAAGGGGAAGGGAAACCCCUUUGGCAAUUGAGGGAAUGGAGCCCAGACCAUUGGAAAUAGCUGCCUAAAAGAACGCCCGUGUUCUUUUAGGGUCUGUCUGGCUUCAUCACCAUGACAGACAAAAUAAGUUUAACAGAAAAUAUCGGGAUUGCUGAGUGCCCCUCCUCGGGAUAGUGAGAGACCCACCUCUUCUCCUGUGUCUACCAGUCCAGUGGACGCCAUCCUGUUUUGCUUGGUAAAAGAAGAAACCAGAAAAUCUGGUCUAGACCACUGAGGGGGCCCGUUCUCACCCGCACAGCCUCUCCCAAACCACAAGUUCCAACAGUUUCUCAGAGCGGACCUGAGGAAAUUAAAUACUGCCUGCACAAAACACCCAGGGGUCUGUCCUGAAGGAACAACUCAGGGACGUCCCGAUUUGUUAGAGCAAAGCUGUCCAGACCACUGAUCCAAGCUGCCCCCCUGGGAUGCUGAGUCAGCCUGUGUGCUUCCCCGGGAAAGACGGGGAGACUCAAGGUUGGGCUAACAGCUCAGGGACUUCUCAUGGCCUGUCCGGGCUUGUCCACUUCCCUCUGGGAAAGCAAGCAAAUGAGUCCUGUUCACAGCACAAAGAAGUUUUGUCCAGUAGAAAAGAGACUCAUGAUUUUACCUUUCUGAGAAUUAUAUCUGAGCAGAUCGCUGCUCAGAUUCCUGGUCCCCAAGGAAUCUACAAAGUCUCUCGCACCAUCCAUCCCUCCUGCCCCCCAAUCUGUUCAGGUGGCACCAGCAGCUGCAUCCUCUGGGUCACCACUGUGCCCAGAACAGACUUCGAGGACAAGCUGCCCUUGUGUGCUUCUCUGCCAGCAUCUCCCUCCAGACUGCCAGCUCCCGAGGGCAGGGGCCAGGUCUGAUUCUUGCUGGAUCUGCAGAGCUCAGUAGAUGCUGUUGAAUGAAUUUAUGUAUAUACUUGGUUUGGACCACACCUCACUGCUGGUGAAGGAGCCUGGUGUAUGGGAAGGGCAAUUCAUUCAUGUGGCCUCUGAGCCUCAGUUUUUGCAUCUGCGAAAUGAGGAUAUUUCCUAUGUGCUGAUGGGAAGGAUGUCUUAAGUAACUGCUGCAUAGUUUCCAUUUUCUUCUUUUAAUUUCUAUCGCCACCUCCCACCCCACCCCCCAGGAUAGUAUGAACAGGAACAGGGUCAUUUCCUCUGGCUCUCCACCCUGCAAGGCCCACAGAAAGUGUCCAGUGACGUACCGCCACCCGGUUCAUAAAUGAGAAGGGGCCAGGGUGCCCACAGCCGGCGGACAAGCAGCAGGAUCUACUCAGCAGAAGCCUUGCACUCCAAUGCUGGGGGGUUGAGGGCAAAGGGAGGGCUGGAGACCCGAACACGAACAGGAACCCCAAGGGAAUAACUGAAGGGAGAGAAUGGCUGGAAGAGGCUGGAUUUCAAGAAGCCACAAGUCCCGGCCCCAGCCCCAGGAACGCACCUGCUUCUCUGGCCCCCUCCUUCCCUAAACAGCAUCAUCUGCUGAGAAAGCAGACUUCUGAAUUCCUGGGGUUCGGGCGCCAUCUCGUGGCCAUUUCUGAAACUGCCCAUCCCGGCUGAGCAGAGCCCAGAGGUCCAAGAGCAACGGGAACCAGGCCAACACUCCUCCAACUUUCCUGGCCCCGACCCUCUUCAUCCUCACCUUCUCCCUUCCAUUUAUUGAGCACUGAAUAUAUUCCAGUCUCCAUGUUCAGCCCC
Long non-coding RNA from Leopardus geoffroyi (Geoffroy's cat), 2977 nucleotides. RefSeq lists it as uncharacterized. The record is from RefSeq and is a predicted model, not a curated record. NCBI's taxonomy places the organism in Eukaryota, Metazoa, Chordata, Mammalia, Carnivora, Felidae. The transcript is spliced from 3 exons.